AGAAGAUGGACAGUUCAUCUUUGCCCUAAAUUUUCUCUCCAUUUCUGCUCAAAUUUUAGUCUGCAAAUAGAACAAGGAAUUCCCAUUCUAUCCAGGUGGUUGAUCUUCAAACGAUUCAAAUUUACUGCAUCAAAGGGAGUUAAACUUGGGCCAGCAUUUGUCUUCACAAGAGUUUUUUUUGAAGAUUGAGAGUUUUGAUUACAAAGAUGAAGAGGGCUAGAGAUGAUAUGUACAUGGCUUCUCAACUCAAACGCCCCAUCGUCUCCUCUCGCGCCGAACCCUCUGGGCAAUCCCAGAUGAUGGGUGGAGCGAGCACACAGAAACUAACUACCAAUGAUGCAUUGGCAUAUCUCAAGGCAGUUAAGGACAUAUUUCAAGAUAAAAGGGCUAAAUAUGAUGAGUUUCUUGAAGUU
Molecule: non-coding RNA, 413 nt
Organism: Camellia sinensis
Lineage: Eukaryota; Viridiplantae; Streptophyta; Magnoliopsida; Ericales; Theaceae
Source: RefSeq, a predicted model, not a curated record